Ictalurus punctatus (channel catfish) is the source of this 996-nucleotide long non-coding RNA. RefSeq lists it as uncharacterized. Lineage: Eukaryota; Metazoa; Chordata; Actinopteri; Siluriformes; Ictaluridae. The record is from RefSeq and is a predicted model, not a curated record. The transcript is spliced from 2 exons.
AUGAUUAUCACAUAUAUUCUUCUUCAGUAAAGUGUCAGGAAUAAUAUACUCAGUUCUGAAAGCAGUUCAAUUGUUUGUGUUUAAAAAUAUUAGCCUUUUUAUCAAUGUCAAUUAUAGUGGACACCAGGAUCGUCUAAAUGUACAUAAUGACACCAUGUUCCACACACACACACACACACACACACACACACACACACACACACACACACUUCACUACAACCAGUGAUUUAUCAUCAGUGAUAAAUAUAAUUUAUGAAUGAGGCUUGAAGAUUGUCCACGUGGUAUCAUGAAAUAUGUAAACUGGCUAAAGUGCAAAGUUUGUACGUUUGAUUUUGACUAAUUGUAUGGACAUACAGCGCCCUCCAUUAAUGUUGGCACCCUUGGUAAAUAUGAGCAAAGAAGGCUGUGAAAAAUUGUCUUUUGUUUGACCUUUUGAUCUUUUGUGUAAUAUUUUCCCUUUGUAUUGUUUACCAUAAUUCUGGUUUUGGCAGUCAGGUUAUGAUCACACCAGAGUCUGUUGAUACGACCAACCAAGUUCUCCUUAUGCCAGACACUGACGUCACGACCAACCCCAUAGAAAUACAACUGAAUUGAAUUGAACACCUUAAACACAUGACCUGAGUUCCUGCUGAAGGAAAAAAUCACCCCAUCAGAAACACCACUCAGAAUGGGUCUCCUAACAUCUGAAUGUACUGCUGGGACUACGGCUGCUUCUAAGGCCAAACAGACUUCAUAUAAAACCAUAAUGAACUUUUUCACACUAUCUGUUGUUACCCAGAUGAGGACGGGUUUCCUGCUGAGUCUGAUUCCUCUCAAGGUUUCUUCCUCUAACAUCUUAGGGAGUUUUUCCUCACCACCAUCACCACUGGCUUGCUCAAUUGGGAUAAACCUGCACUUUUAAAAUCUGUAUCCCGUGUUUAUAUAUUUCUGUAAAGCUGCUUUGAGAUAAUGUCUAUUGUAAAAAGUGCUAUACAAAUAAAAUUGAAUUGUACUGAA